GAUGAACGCUGGCGGCGUGCCUAACACAUGCAAGCCGAGCGGACGGGCGCGCAGCUUGCUGGGCUUGUUUUAGCGGCGAACGGGUGAGUAACACGUGGAUAACCUACCUAUAACACUGGGAUAAGCUCGGGAAACCGGAUCUAAUACCGGAUAAUAUUUUGAACCGCUUUCUUCAGAAGUGAAGGACGGUCUUGCUGUCACUUAUAGAUGGAUGCGCGCUGCAUUAGCUAGUUGGUAAGUUGCCGGCUUACCAGUGCAACGAUGUAUAGCCGUCCUGAGAGGGUGAGCGGCCACAGCGACACUGAGACACGGUCCAGACCCAGACUGGUGGGAGCAGCAGGGAAUCUGCCGCAAUGGGCGAGAGCCUGACGCAGCAACGCCGCGUGAGUGAUGAAGGUCUUCGGAUCGUAAAUCUCUGCUAUUAGGGUAGGACAUAUGUGUAAGUAACUGUGCACAUCUUGACGUUACCUUGUCAGAAAGCACCGGCUAACUACGUG
RNAcentral lists this ribosomal RNA (497 nucleotides) under uncultured bacterium. RNAcentral describes it as "partial 16S ribosomal RNA". It matches the Rfam family "Bacterial small subunit ribosomal RNA", at positions 28 to 507 of the family's 1533-position model. The record is from RNAcentral.